GCUCAAUUUUUAACAUUCUCCGUAUUGAAUUCAUUGUACGGUUAAAAUUAAGGGUUCAGAUCUAAUAUUUGUUGAGAUUUAGUAAAUUUUUACAUAUAAAUUUACACUUCAGUUGAACCCGUAAUCUAAAGGCUACAUCCGCCCCUGGGUGGAACCCGAACUGGGUAUCGAUUAUGCAGAUCAAUGCUGAUGACGUUUUGGUUGUGGUUUUCUCAUCUUCUGGUGCUAAAAAGGAGAAAUGGUCAGGACAAUUCCCAUACUAUUGCCAUUUUCCAUGCGUAGGAUUCGUUUUCGUUCGAAUAAGAUGCUUUUGCAAGCUAUUCAGCGCCUUUCCGAAAUCAGAUACCUAAUCCUAUCCUUCAACUUUUCCCUUUUCCCUUUCAUGGUAAUUUGCCUUUUUUUCAUCUUAAACAGAUACCAUACAAAAAGAGUAAAAGUAGGUUGCAGUUGCUUGACCAUGUCAUCUUCAUUUUUGCAAAGAAAUAGUCCCACUCUCAUUUUUUAUUUUUUUUGGUUUCAGAGGAUUCAGUAUCUCAACCUAAACUAGUUCAAUAAAUAAAGAGACUGUUUUCAGAAAGAAUGAUUCAUGGAGAAAGCAAUAUCCUCCUCCUGGCCCCAAUUUUCUUCAAGAAGGUCUUAUUCCAGGCAAAGCUAGUACCAUAAUACUAGUUUCAUCAAUGUAGCUGGAUAGCCUUCUAAAACCACCGAAUAUAUAUAUGUCAAGGCAGCAUCAAGAACACAAUGAUUCUUCUGGUAUCUUAUCUCACCGUCUUCACCCUGAUUUUUCUUGACUGUAGAAAAAGGGGCUAUCCAUCAAGAAGAGAAAAAGGGGCUAUAAUGUAUGUAACAUUAUAGGGACGGGUUCAAUUGAGAUUGACUGUAUUGUAGAACAAAACUAGAUCUCCUCACUAAGUUCUCCACAAUUUUAGCCAUUUGUAUCCCUGUAUUGGUACUAUAAAGUAUGAAUAUCUGCUUUCUGAUGGAAUAGGAUCAUCUCUUUGCACUCAUACAGUUGUUCUCAAAAUGGUCAUCCAUGAUGUAUGCCAAGAAGAAUCUACUUCAUAUCAGUGCAAGAAUCUCAUAUCUACUACACAUUACUAUUCUCGGGGUGAAUACACUUGGCAGAUAGGAUUAUCCCUGUUAGACUGUUCCGCAAAGGUUGAACAAAUGACCAAUUGUCUCCUACUAUGGUCUUGAAAACCCUUAGCUCAUGAACUAACUUUUGGAGUUGAGUUAAGACUAAGAUCUAUUUUCUUAACAUGGUAUUAAAGUCAGACUCCUCUCUGUUCUUGGUUUACCCAAUGUUGGACCUCCAUGUUAUGUUGUGCACGCUCCAGAUGUCCUGGGUAUGAGGGGGGUGUUAGACAGUCUCAUAUAGGUUGAGGGAAUUACCUGUUGUCCUCUUAUAUGGUUUUCGGCAAUCUUCGCCUAAUGAGCUAGUUUUUGGAGUUGAAUUAAGCUCAAGGUCCAUUUUCUUAACAAUCUCUUUGCACUUAUGCUGUU
Molecule: long non-coding RNA, 1503 nt
Filed under: Nicotiana tabacum (common tobacco)
Lineage: Eukaryota; Viridiplantae; Streptophyta; Magnoliopsida; Solanales; Solanaceae
Description: long non-coding RNA (NTAB_LNC004424)
Source: RNAcentral